GAUAAACGCUGGCGGCGUGCCUAAUACAUGCAAGUCGAGCGAACGGACGAGAAGCUUGCUUCUCUGAUGUUAGCGGCGGACGGGUGAGUAACACGUGGAUAACCUACCUAUAAGACUGGGAUAACUUCGGGAAACCGGAGCUAAUACCGGAUAAUAUUUUGAACCGCAUGGUUCAAAAGUGAAAGACGGUCUUGCUGUCACUUAUAGAUGGAUCCGCGCUGCAUUAGCUAGUUGGUAAGGUAACGGCUUACCAAGGCAACGAUGCAUAGCCGACCUGAGAGGGUGAUCGGCCACACUGGAACUGAGACACGGUCCAGACUCCUACGGGAGGCAGCAGUAGGGAAUCUUCCGCAAUGGGCGAAAGCCUGACGGAGCAACGCCGCGUGAGUGAUGAAGGUCUUCGGAUCGUAAAACUCUGUUAUUAGGGAAGAACAUAUGUGUAAGUAACUGUGCACAUCUUGACGGUACCUAAUCAGAAAGCCACGGCUAACUACGUGCCAGCAGCCGCGGUAAUACGUAGGUGGCAAGCGUUAUCCGGAAUUAUUGGGCGUAAAGCGCGCGUAGGCGGUUUUUUAAGUCUGAUGUGAAAGCCCACGGCUCAACCGUGGAGGGUCAUUGGAAACUGGAAAACUUGAGUGCAGAAGAAGAAAGUGGAAUUCCAUGUGUAGCGGUGAAAUGCGCAGAGAUAUGGAGGAACACCAGUGGCGAAGGCGACUUUCUGGUCUGUAACUGACGCUGAUGUGCGAAAGCGUGGGGAUCAAACAGGAUUAGAUACCCUGGUAGUCCACGCCGUAAACGAUGAGUGCUAAGUGUUAGGGGGUUUCCGCCCCUUAGUGCUGCAGCUAACGCAUUAAGCACUCCGCCUGGGGAGUACGACCGCAAGGUUGAAACUCAAAGGAAUUGACGGGGACCCGCACAAGCGGUGGAGCAUGUGGUUUAAUUCGAAGCAACGCGAAGAACCUUACCAAAUCUUGACAUCCUUUGACAACUCUAGAGAUAGAGCCUUCCCCUUCGGGGGACAAAGUGACAGGUGGUGCAUGGUUGUCGUCAGCUCGUGUCGUGAGAUGUUGGGUUAAGUCCCGCAACGAGCGCAACCCUUAAGCUUAGUUGCCAUCAUUAAGUUGGGCACUCUAAGUUGACUGCCGGUGACAAACCGGAGGAAGGUGGGGAUGACGUCAAAUCAUCAUGCCCCUUAUGAUUUGGGCUACACACGUGCUACAAUGGACAAUACAAAGGGCAGCGAAACCGCGAGGUCAAGCAAAUCCCAUAAAGUUGUUCUCAGUUCGGAUUGUAGUCUGCAACUCGACUACAUGAAGCUGGAAUCGCUAGUAAUCGUAGAUCAGCAUGCUACGGUGAAUACGUUCCCGGGUCU
This 1372-nucleotide ribosomal RNA is filed under the name uncultured bacterium. RNAcentral describes it as "bacterial SSU rRNA". It matches the Rfam family "Bacterial small subunit ribosomal RNA", at positions 28 to 1381 of the family's 1533-position model. The record is from RNAcentral.